Anguilla rostrata (American eel) is the source of this 4204-nucleotide long non-coding RNA. RefSeq lists it as uncharacterized. Lineage: Eukaryota; Metazoa; Chordata; Actinopteri; Anguilliformes; Anguillidae. The record is from RefSeq and is a predicted model, not a curated record. The transcript has 6 exons.
UUUUCGGAGGCGAACGAAGCACACAGAUGUUGAUCAUAAGUUAUUGGUGACGCCAAGUUACCCCUGACCUCUGAACCUCUGCACGUGAGCCAGAGCCAAUCAGUUGCUAAUGACCGCUAUCCGCGCUCACUCGUCUCGGAUGGUCUGAUGGGAGACGCGAGUAAAUUGCCGUAAUCUCAGAACAAACACAUUCCCUGUUAAACAAAUUGCGAUUUGGUAGCUUUGUGUUAAGCAAAUGUUUUUUUAAAUGAACGUGAAAGCGCCGUGGGCUGCCUGUACGCGCGAGCGUCACGCAUUUCCCCAGUCAAGCUGUUUCCGUUGAUGAGUUUUUAAAAAACGCAGUAAUGUUUGGAACCGACAUUACAAAUUCUUCACAAACGUGAGGUUCGUUUGGUCUUUUGAAAAUUUUCACUCCACGCGGGACAUUAGGACAGAUGUUUUUUCGGGGGCAACUUGAGCCCGACCAUCUGCCGCUGUAAGAGCUUCACCUGGAGCCCGAGGACGCUCGCGCCGCUUGGCUGUGAGUAAAGAUCUGCGGAUUCCUCCCGCGUCUCAGACUCCAGAACCCGCCUCUGCAACGCGUCCAUCCAUCCGCAGUUCGGAGACGCCGGUGAAAGUUUGGCAAUGAGCAGAGGGAGGGGUCAAAGGACAGCUGGGGGGUCAGCGGGAUGGCCGGCCCGGGUCGCCCUGUCCCCCCCCACCCCCCGCACCCCCCCCCCCCAACAGGGGGCGGCGCCUCAGUGGAGCUUAAUUCUGUUCCCUGCUGUGACCAUGCUGGAGUAACCGUGGAAACCACAGGGUCCAAUCAGGGACCUGUGACCUUCAGCUUGUUGCUCCUGACCCAGAAUGCAUUGCUGAAUGUGGAGCCCUGGCCACUGCUCUGAGGACCAGCCUGUGGAGUUCCUGUUGGAGCCUGCAUCCUGAGCAGGAUCAGAAAUCAUAUUUACGAUUACAUUUAUGAAUGCAUAGGAAUAUAAAACAACAGAAGGAAGAUAAAACACAGUAGCAGAGCCUUGGGACUCCGGAGGCUCAGGUACAGGUGGUCAGCAGAAAGAAAAAAUCCACGUCUUUUAAAAGUCCAAAUGACCACUCAAAUUGGAUAGUGCAUCAUUUCCUGUCAUACUGAAGAAAAUAUGGAGGACAGCUCUAAUUCAUCAUAUUGGUGAUUUAAUACCAAAGAAAUAUAUUAAAAUAAUAAAAAGAAUGCUGAAAUGCCCCGAAUUUGUGGUGAUAAAUAGCCCUCUCUGUCUUUAUCUGAUUACUGGAGCUAACAAAUAUAUUGCGGCUAGGAUUUGUGCCGACACGCGCGAUUGUUUUCCAAUAAGAAGUUGCAUAUUAAAUUCCGACACAGAGAGAGGCAGAUAGCCCUACUGCACACCUCAGAGAGAGAGAGAGAGAGAGGGAACGAGGGAACGAGGGGACAGGGGAGACGAACAAGAGAGGGUCGUCAUUAGGACAUCAGAGUCACAGAAACACCUUGCUAUUUUACACUAAACCUCCUACACACACACACUGUCCCUGUUAUUCACUCACAUACACUGAUACAUACACAUUCUCACACAAACACACACACACUCUCAGACAAAUUAACACUCUCCCUCUCUCGUGCACACACAGGUUUAUGUGGUUAGAGCAAUCACUCACUCACACACACACACACACACACGCACGGUGCACACACACACACACACACACAAACCCGCUCACACACAAACAUUGUCAGGACUUUGUAGUGUCUGUGAGUCUCUCUGCAGUGUUUUCUCUCUCUAAUUGUUCUCAAACUCAUCAGGAAGGUUUUACUUGUAAUUAAUUAACACAUUUUCUUAUGCAAAUGUAAGCAAUUAAGUCAUAUUAUCUUAAUAAUUGUUUACUAAACAGAACACUCUCGUAACCAUGUAAGAGUGUAAUAUAUCUAAAGGAAAUUAUGUUCUGCUAAUUAAGCUCAUUAGUCUAAAAUGGUAAUUAACACACUGUAAUUAGGAGUGGAAUAUUUAUUUCAGCAGUGUUGAGUGUCUGGGAUUGGGGUCGCUGGCAGACAGACAGACAGACAGACAGAAAGAAAAACAGAGCGGCAGACAGACAGACAAACAGAUAUAAAGAAAAACAGACAGGUAGAUAGUCAGGUAGACAGACAGGCGUAAAGAAAAAACAGGCAGACAGGUAGACAGACAGACCGACAGGAAGACAUACAGACCGAUAUAAAGAAAAACAGACAGGUAGAGAGACAGGCAGGCAGUCAGACAGACAGACAGGUAGUCAGACAGGCAGGCAGGCAGGCAGGCAGGCAGACAGACAGGUGCACAGACAUUUUUUUAAUGAAUGACCAGCACAGCACUCUCAUGAGUCCACUUUAGUCCUCAUAAUCUACUGCCCCCAACAUACACACACACACAUGCAUACACGUACACACUCACUGACACAGACACUUACGCGCACAGGCACAUACACACUCACACACACACAUACACACACACAUACAUGCACGCACACACAGUACUUUAUCAACUAAAGUAAAUUGGGUAAAACUUCUCACAUGUGGAAUCAUUCAGUUCAUUCUGAAGGGCUGGAUGAGAGAUGGCGUGAGAGAGGUAAUGAGACUCUUUUUCUCUCUCUCUGUCUCUCUUUCUCUUUCUCUCUUGCUCUAUCUUUCUCUCUUUCAUCCACCCUGUUCUCUCAAUUCAAUUUAGUUUUGAUUCAAGUAACUUUAUUGCUGUGACAGAAACCUUUAUGUUGUGAAGCCACUUCAAUUCAGUUUAGCCCAGCGCAGUGUGCCUGUGCAGUGUGCCUAUGCUAGGGGUCUGCCUAUGCCAGGGGUCAUACCCAGUGCAGUGUGCCUGUGCUAGGGGUCAUACCCAGUUCAGUGUGCCUGUGCUAGGGGUCAUACCCAGCGCUGUGUGCCUGUGCUAUGGGUCAUACCCAGUUCAGUGUGCCUGUGCUAGGGGUCAUACCCAGCGCAGUGUGCCUGUGCUUGGGGUCUGCCUCCUCAUACAAAGCACAGUGUGCCUGUGCUAGCGCAGUUUGCCUGUGCUUGGGGUCUGCCUCCUCAUACAAAGUGCAGUGUGCCUGUGCUAGGGGUCAUACCCAGUUCAGUGUGCCUGUGGUAGGGGUCAUACCCAGCGCAGUGUGCCUGUGCUUGGGGUCUGCCUCCUCAUACAAAGUGCAGUGUGCCUGUGCUAGCGCAGUUUGCCUGUGCUUGGGGUCUGCCUCCUCAUACAUAAAGCAUGUAUAGCAUAAUCAUAUGCAGCAAUAGCACUCUAACAAACAUGCUACCUGACCACACAAAGACAUGAAGUAAAGUCAUCAAACCUGUUUGUGUGUGUGUGUGUGCGCGCGUAUGCAUGUGUGUGUGCGUGUGUGCAUGUGUGUAUGAGUGUGUGUAGCAGUGUGUAUGCGUGUGUAGCAGUGUGUGUGUGUAUAGGUGUGUGUACCAGUGUGUAUGUGUUUGUAGCAGUGUGUGUGCGCGCAUGAGAGUGUGUGUAGCAGUGUGUGUGUGUGUGUGCAUGGCAGUGUGUGCCUGUGUGCAUGAGAGUGUGUGUAGCAGAGUGUGUGUGUGUGUAUGAGUGUGUGUAGCAGUGUGUGUGUGUGUGCAUGAGAGUGUGUGUAGCAGAGUGUGUGUGUGCUGUAUGGGGUUAUUACUCCAUGGAUUAGCCUGGGGGAAUGUGUGUGUGUGUGUGUGUGUGUAUGCUGUAUGGGGUUAUUACUCCAUGGAUUAGCCUGGGGGAAUGUGUGUGUGUGUGUGUGUGUAUGCUGUAUGGGGUUAUUACUCCAUGGAUUAGCCUGGGGGAAUGUGUGUGUAUAAAUGAUUAGAGAAAAAGUUGAAGGAGAAAGAGAACCGAUAACUCAUCCUUUAUAUAAAAUAAUGAGAAAAGUUCCUGUGGGAGUGUGAGUGUGUGUGCAUGCGUGUGUGUGUGUGCGCAUGCAUGUGUUUGUGUGUGCAUGCAUGUGUUUGUGUGUGCAUGCAUGUGUUUGUGUGGUGUGUGUUUGUGUGUGUGUGUGAGUGAGAGAGAGCAUGUGUAUGUGUUUGUGUGUGUGUGUCUGUGUGUGAGAGCAUGUGUAUGUGUUUGUGUGUGUGUGUCUGUGUGUGAGAGCAUGUGUAUGUGAUUAUGUGUGUGUAUGAGGGUAUGUGUAAGUAUUUGCAUAUAAAGGCAUGCAUGUGUGUAUUUGUGAGCAUGUGUGUGUGUUUAAGUGUGCAUGACCAAGUGUG